UAGGGAAUAUUGCACAAUGGGCGAAAGCCUGAUGCAGCAACGCCGCGUGCACGAUGAAGGUCUUCGGAUCGUAAAGUGCUUUUCUGGGAGAUGAGAAUGGACAGUAUCCCAGGAAUAAGUCUCGGCUAACUACGUGCCAGCAGCCGCGGUAAAACGUAGGAGGCAAGCGUUAUCCGGAUUCACUGGGCGUAAAGCGCGUGCAGGCGGCUCGGUAAGUUGGGCGUGAAAUCUCCUGGCUUAACUAGGAGAGGCCGUCCAAUACUACCGGGCUAGAGAGCAGUAGAGGAAGAUGGAAUUCCCGGUGUAGUGGUGAAAUGCGUAGAUAUCGGGAGGAACACCAGUGGCGAAGGCGAUCUUCUGGACUGUUUCUGACGCUCAGACGCGAAAGCUAGGGUAGUAAACGGGAUUAGAGACCCCGGUAAUCCUAGCCGUAAACGAUGUGAACUUGGCGUCGGUAGCUUAAACACUAUCGGUGCCGCAGCAAACGCGAA
RNAcentral lists this ribosomal RNA (491 nucleotides) under uncultured Chloroflexota bacterium. RNAcentral's name for it is "bacterial SSU rRNA". It matches the Rfam family "Bacterial small subunit ribosomal RNA", at positions 355 to 861 of the family's 1533-position model. The record is from RNAcentral. Lineage: Bacteria; Bacillati; Chloroflexota.